RNAcentral lists this ribosomal RNA (498 nucleotides) under uncultured bacterium. RNAcentral's name for it is "partial 16S ribosomal RNA". It matches the Rfam family "Bacterial small subunit ribosomal RNA", at positions 30 to 523 of the family's 1533-position model. The record is from RNAcentral.
AUUGAACGCUGGCGGCAUGCCUUACACAUGCAAGUCGAACGGUAACAGGUCUUCGGAUGCUGACGAGUGGCGAACGGGUGAGUAAUACAUCGGAACGUGCCUAGUAGUGGGGGAUAACUACUCGAAAGAGUGGCUAAUACCGCAUGAGAUCUACGGAUGAAAGCAGGGGAUCGCAAGACCUUGUGCUACUAGAGCGGCCGAUGGCAGAUUAGGUAGUUGGUGGGAUAAAAGCUUACCAAGCCGACGAUCUGUAGCUGGUCUGAGAGGACGAUCAGCAACACUGGGACUGAGACAAGGCCCAGACUCCGACGGGAGGCAGCAGUGGGGAAUUUUGGACAAUGGGCUAAAGCUUGAUCCAGCAAUGCCGCGUGCAGGAUGAAGGCCUUCGGGUUGUAAACUGCUUUUGUACGGAACGAAAAGCCCCGGGUUAAUACCCUGGGGUCAUGACGGUACCGUAAGAAUAAGCACCGGCUAACUACGUGCCAGCCGCUGAGGUAA